Molecule: ribosomal RNA, 744 nt
Filed under: uncultured Bacteroidales bacterium
Lineage: Bacteria; Pseudomonadati; Bacteroidota; Bacteroidia; Bacteroidales
Description: bacterial SSU rRNA
Rfam family: Bacterial small subunit ribosomal RNA
Source: RNAcentral
AGGCUUAACACAUGCAAGUCGAGGGGCAUCAGUUUGGUUUGCUUGCAAACCAAAGCUGGCGACCGGCGCACGGGUGGGUAACACGUAUCCAACCUGCCUCAUACUCGGGGAUAGCCUUUCGAAAGAAAGAUUAAUAUCCGAUAGCAUAUAUUUCCCGCAUGGGUUUUAUAUUAAAGAAAUUCGGUAUGAGAUGGGGAUGCGUUCCAUUAGUUUGUUGGCGGGGUAACGGCCCACCAAGACUACGAUGGAUAGGGGUUCUGAGAGGAAGGUCCCCCACAUUGGAACUGAGACACGGUCCAAACUCCUACGGGAGGCAGCAGUGAGGAAUAUUGGUCAAUGGACGCGAGUCUGAACCAGCCAAGUAGCGUGAAGGAUGACUGCCCUAUGGGUUGUAAACUUCUUUUAUAUGGGAAUAAAGUGGUCCACGUGUGGAUUUUUGUAUGUACCAUAUGAAUAAGGAUCGGCUAACUCCGUGCCAGCAGCCGCGGUAAUACGGAGGAUCCGAGCGUUAUCCGGAUUUAUUGGGUUUAAAGGGAGCGUAGGCGGAUUGUUAAGUCAGUUGUGAAAGUUUGCGGCUCAACCGUAAAAUUGCAGUUGAUACUGGCAGUCUUGAGUGCAGUAGAGGUGGGCGGAAUUCGUGGUGUAGCGGUGAAAUGCUUAGAUAUCACGAAGAACUCCGAUUGCGAAGGCAGCUCACUGGAGUGUAACUGACGCUGAUGCUCGAAAGUGUGGGUAUCAAACAGG